AGAAUCAACGCUGGCGGCGUGCCUAACACAUGCAAGUCGAACGAGAAAGUGGAGCAAUCCAUGAGUAAAGUGGCGCACGGGUGAGUAACACGUGACUAACCUACCCUUGAGUGGGGGAUAACCUAGAGAAAUCUGGGCUAAUACCGCAUAAUACCUUCGGGUCAAAGGAGCAAUUCGCUUAAGGAGGGGGUCGCGGCCGAUUAGUUAGUUGGCGGGGUAAUGGCCCACCAAGACUGUGAUCGGUAUCCGGCCUGAGAGGGCGCACGGACACACUGGAACUGAAACACGGUCCAGACUCCUACGGGAGGCAGCAGUGGGGAAUUUUGCGCAAUGGGGGAAACCCUGACGCAGCAACGCCGCGUGGAGGAUGAAGCCCCUUGGGGCGUAAACUCCUUUCGAUCGGGAAGAUAAUGACGGUACCGAGAGAAGAAGCCCCGGCUAACUUCGCGCCAGCAGCCGC
RNAcentral lists this ribosomal RNA (460 nucleotides) under uncultured bacterium. RNAcentral's name for it is "SSU rRNA". It matches the Rfam family "Bacterial small subunit ribosomal RNA", at positions 26 to 518 of the family's 1533-position model. The record is from RNAcentral.